UUCUCCCUAUGGAGGGCUUCUCCACUCUUCCUUCCUCCUUUUUUGUUUUUCUUUCUGCAAUGGGACGCGCCUUGAUGCUUUUGUCUCCCGAUGGCAGUGUCCUGUCGAAGCACUUCUCCUGCCACAGGGGAUUCCGUUGAAGUCCACGAUCCAGUGUCUGAAGAAAGAGGUUCUUCAUUUAACAAAAAGGUCAAAGAAGAUGGAUGGCAAGCUUCACAG
This 219-nucleotide long non-coding RNA is filed under the name Elaeis guineensis (African oil palm). Its description in RNAcentral is "long non-coding RNA (EGUI_LNC072032)". The record is from RNAcentral. Lineage: Eukaryota; Viridiplantae; Streptophyta; Magnoliopsida; Arecales; Arecaceae.